Molecule: long non-coding RNA, 423 nt
Organism: Wasmannia auropunctata (little fire ant)
Lineage: Eukaryota; Metazoa; Arthropoda; Insecta; Hymenoptera; Formicidae
Exons: 2
Source: RefSeq, a predicted model, not a curated record
CAGACGUGCACCUGACGGCAACAGCACAUUCCUGUAAUUCUGGUCACUACCGUACGAUUUUGUGGAAGCGGGCCAACAGCAGAGCUCUAGUAUCGUUGUCGUGGAGAAUAUUAAACACUCGAUACCCGAAUAUAUCGAGUGAAGGCCACACGAUGAGGACGUCAAAUAUUUGCAUUCGGACUACCGCGGUUUAAUCAGGAGUUAAUCAUCAAUGGAUAUUACUUCAUCCAAAGCGGGUCCAGAUGACUGACCUCGCCAACUUUUUCGCCGACUUGGCGAUGACGAAAUCCAAUUCUUUAAAUUUCAUUCAUUACAUUUAUUACGCGUGUGUUACGUCAUUCUGCAAAUUCCUUUCACCAAAUAUAUAGGAUGUCUUAUCUUUUAAUAGUCUGACAUUUCGGUAAUACACUGUAUGGGAUAAAA